This 484-nucleotide ribosomal RNA is filed under the name uncultured bacterium. Its description in RNAcentral is "partial 16S ribosomal RNA". It matches the Rfam family "Bacterial small subunit ribosomal RNA", at positions 30 to 507 of the family's 1533-position model. The record is from RNAcentral.
AUUGAACGCUGGCGGCAGGCCUAACACAUGCAAGUCGAGCGGAUGAAGGGAGCUUGCUCCUGGAUUCAGCGGCGGACGGGUGAGUAAUGCCUAGGAAUCUGCCUGGUAGUGGGGGAUAACGUCCGGAAACGGGCGCUAAUACCGCAUCCGUCCUGAGGGAGAAAGUGGGGGAUCUUCGGACCUCACGCUAUCAGAUGAGCCUAGGUCGGAUUAGCUAGUUGGUGGGGUAAAGGCCUACCAAGGCGACGAUCCGUAACUGGUCUGAGAGGAUGAUCAGUCACACUGGAACUGAGACACGGUCCAGACUCCUACGGGAGGCAGCAGUGGGGAAUAUUGGACGAUGGGGGAAAGCCUGAUCCAGCCAUGCCGCGUGUGUGAAGAAGGUCUUCGGAUUGUAAAGCACUUUAAGUUGGGAGGAAGGGCAGUAAGUUAAUACCUUGCUGUUUUGACGUUACCAACAGAAUAAGCACCGGCUAACUUCGUG